Molecule: non-coding RNA, 148 nt
Filed under: Pan troglodytes (chimpanzee)
Lineage: Eukaryota; Metazoa; Chordata; Mammalia; Primates; Hominidae
Source: Rfam by way of RNAcentral
GCUGGGUGUGGUGGCUCACGCCUGUAAUCCCAGCUACUCAGGAGGCUGAGGCAGGAGAAUUGCUUGAACCCAGGAGGUGGAGGUUGCAGUGAGCUGAGAUUGCGCCACUGCACUCCAGCCUGGGUGACACAGCAAGACUUGGUCUCAA